CCCCACACACACACACAGCCCAGAGAUCUCCGCAGAGCGAGGGCGACGGCUGCCGAACGUCCGCGGCCAUCCACGCGCGUUGGCCCGCGGGUGGGGACGCGCGAGUGCUUUGUACGGAUAGUCUUUGGAGCAGAGUGAAAGAUUUGAGAAAAGUAAAAGCAGAGAAGGAAAGAAAAAGAAGGCAAAAUGAAUGCGUCAGAAAGGACUGGAAUAAAAAUGUACUAAGAAAAGGAGAAGAAAAAGCCAAAGGAAUGUAGAAGUGAAAAUAAAUGAAUGAAUAAAUGAAUAAAUGCAUUAAUUAAUAAUAAGGACAACUCACUUUGGCUUUGGAAAUCCCCUCUGGAUAAUUUGCAUUGGAUCCGGAAAUAAAAUAGAAAACCAAAAUUUUCUCAA
This is a non-coding RNA of Callorhinus ursinus (northern fur seal), 393 nucleotides long. The record is from RefSeq and is a predicted model, not a curated record. NCBI's taxonomy places the organism in Eukaryota, Metazoa, Chordata, Mammalia, Carnivora, Otariidae.